GAUGAACGCUGGCGGCGUGCCUAAUACAUGCAAGUCGAGCGAACAGACGAGGAGCUUGCUCCUCUGACGUUAGCGGCGGACGGGUGAGUAACACGUGGAUAACCUACCUAUAAGACUGGGAUAACUUCGGGAAACCGGAGCUAAUACCGGAUAAUAUAUUGAGCCGCAUGGUUCAAUAGUGAAAGACGGUUUUGCUGUCACUUAUAGAUGGAUCCGCGCCGCAUUAGCUAGUUGGUAAGGUAACGGCUUACCAAGGCAACGAUGCGUAGCCGACCUGAGAGGGAGAUCGGCCACACUGGAACUGAGACACGGUCCAGACUCCUACGGGAGGCAGCAGUAGGGAAUCUUCCGCAAUGGGCGAAAGCCUGACGGAGCAACGCCGCGUGAGUGAUGAAGGUCUUCGGAUCGUAAAACUCUGUUAUUAGGGAAGAACAAAUGUGUAAGUAACUAUGCACGUCUUGACGGUACCUAAUCAGAAAGCCACGGCUAACUACGUG
Molecule: ribosomal RNA, 497 nt
Filed under: uncultured bacterium
Lineage: Bacteria
Description: partial 16S ribosomal RNA
Rfam family: Bacterial small subunit ribosomal RNA
Source: RNAcentral